This 66-nucleotide transfer RNA is filed under the name Pealius mori. RNAcentral's name for it is "tRNA-Asp". The record is from RNAcentral. Lineage: Eukaryota; Metazoa; Arthropoda; Insecta; Hemiptera; Aleyrodidae.
AGAGAUUUAGUUAAAUUUAAUAAUAGUAACUUGUCAAGUUUCAGUCGGCCAAGCAACCAGUCUCUG